Molecule: ribosomal RNA, 252 nt
Filed under: uncultured bacterium
Lineage: Bacteria
Description: partial 16S ribosomal RNA
Rfam family: Bacterial small subunit ribosomal RNA
Source: RNAcentral
UACAGAGGUGGCAAGCGUUGUUCGGAAUUACUGGGCGUAAAGGGCGCGUAGGCGGUCAGGUCAGUCCCGUGUGAAAUCCCUCGGCUCAACUGAGGAACUGCACGGGAAACUACCUGGCUUGAGUUCGGGAGAGGGAAGCGGAAUUCCGGGUGUAGCGGUGAAAUGCGUAGAUAUCCGGAGGAAACCCGUGGCGAAGGCGGCUUCCUGGACCGACACUGACGCUGAGGCGCGAAAGCUAGGGGAGCAAACGGG